This 637-nucleotide unclassified non-coding RNA is filed under the name Hevea brasiliensis (rubber tree). Lineage: Eukaryota; Viridiplantae; Streptophyta; Magnoliopsida; Malpighiales; Euphorbiaceae. The record is from RNAcentral.
CACACACACACAAAAAUGGAGGGUUUAAUCAAGGGUCUCAUAGAUGUUGCAAUCGGCCACGACGGCGACGACAACGAUCAACAGUCUCGCGACGACCGAUCCAGAUCCACUUGGGCUCAGGUGGUUACUGGGGAGGAAGAUGGGGGAGAUCGGAGACAGGGGUAUGAUCGGAAUCGGAGGGACAAUGAGGAAGAGGGUCGUUCACGGCGUGAGGAGUGGGAGGUUCAGGGUUCGAGGAUUUCUGGUCAACGGCAACAGAGUGAAUAUGGUAGUGAGCAUGGUUACAACAGAAACCAGUGGCCUAAAGAGGAGAGCUCCGAGGAGAAAAAUGAUGGGUGGGAGACUGUCCACAAAAAGCCGCCUAGGAGACAACACAAGGUGCAAAAAGAUAAUUGGGAAGGAUACAAACGGCCUGCCAGUGAACAAAAUUACUCCGAUGAGGUGGAAGUUGGUGCUGAGCUAGAACCCUCAGAAGAUGAGCUUGCUGAUUUGUCCUAUGCAUGUAACAAGCUUUGGGAACUUGAUUUAAAUCGUUUGGUACCUGGAAAAGAUUAUGAAAUUGAUUGUGGUGAAGGGAAGAGGGUCAGUGGAAGGGAAGAUAUGGCACAAGGAAGCCUCUUUAGUUGGGUUAGCGAAG